This 292-nucleotide ribosomal RNA is filed under the name uncultured bacterium. RNAcentral describes it as "partial 16S ribosomal RNA". The record is from RNAcentral. RNAcentral also lists the same sequence under 1 other name.
GGACUACCGGGGUAUCUAAUCCUGUUUGCUCCCCACGCUUUCGCGCCUCAGCGUCAGUAUUGGUCCAGAAAGUCGCCUUCGCCACUGGUGUUCCUUCCGGUAUCUACGCAUUUCACCGCUACACCGGAAAUUCCACUUUCCUCUACCAUACUCUAGUCUUACAGUAUCAAAUGCAAUUCCCAGGUUAAGCCCGGGUCUUUCACAUCUGACUUAUAAAACCGCCUACGCGCUCUUUACGCCCAGUAAUUCCGAUUAACGCUCGCACCCUCUGUAUUACCGCGGCUGCUGGCAC